UAGGGAAUUUUCCACAAUGGGCGAAAGCCUGAUGGAGCAACGCCGCGUGCAGGAUGAAGGCCUUCGGGUCGUAAACUGCUUUUAUCUGUGACGAUUUUGACGGUAGCAGAUGAAUAAGGAUCGGCUAACUCCGUGCCAGCAGCCGCGGUCAUACGGAGGAUCCAAGCGUUAUCCGGAAUUACUGGGCGUAAAGAGUUGCGUAGGUGGCAUAGUAAGUAGAGCGUGAAAGCGUGCGGCUCAACCGUAUACACAUGUUCUAAACUGCUAAGCUAGAGUAUGAGAGAGGUCACUGGAAUUGCUAGUGUAGGGGUAAAAUCCGUAGAUACUUAGUAGGAACACCAAUGGCGUAGGCAGGUGACUGGCUCAUUACUGACACUAAGGCACGAAAAGCGUGGGGAGCAAAACA
This 406-nucleotide ribosomal RNA is filed under the name uncultured bacterium. RNAcentral's name for it is "bacterial SSU rRNA". It matches the Rfam family "Bacterial small subunit ribosomal RNA", at positions 355 to 775 of the family's 1533-position model. The record is from RNAcentral.